This 279-nucleotide ribosomal RNA is filed under the name uncultured archaeon. Its description in RNAcentral is "partial 16S rRNA". It matches the Rfam family "Archaeal small subunit ribosomal RNA", at positions 1047 to 1325 of the family's 1478-position model. The record is from RNAcentral.
GAGACCCACGCCAACAGUUGCCAGCAUGUCCUCCGGGAUGGUGGGGACACUGUUGGGACCGCCUCUGCUAAAGAGGAGGAAGGAAUGGGCAACGGUAGGUCAGCAUGCCCCGAAUUAUCCGGGCUACACGCGGGCUACAAUGGUCAGGACAAUGGGUAUCGACACCGAGAGGUGAAGGCAAUCUCUUAAACCUGUCCUUAGUUCGGAUUGUGGGCUGCAACUCGCCCACGUGAAGCUGGAAUCCGUAGUAAUCGCGUCUCAAAAUGGCGCGGUGAAUAU